AGCGAACGCUGGCGGCAGGCCUAACACAUGCAAGUCGAACGAACUCUUCGGAGUUAGUGGCGGACGGGUGAGUAACACGUGGGAACGUGCCUUUAGGCUCGGAAUAACUCAGGGAAACUUGUGCUAAUACCGAAUGUGCCCUUCGGGGGAAAGAUUUAUCGCCUUUAGAGCGGCCCGCGUCUGAUUAGCUAGUUGGUGAGGUAAAGGCUCACCAAGGCGACGAUCAGUAGCUGGUCUGAGAGGGUGAUCAGCCACAUUGGGACUGAGACACGGCCCAAACUCCUACGGGAGGCAGCAGUGGGGAAUCUUGCGCAAUGGGCGAAAGCCUGACGCAGCCAUGCCGCGUGAAUGAUGAAGGUCUUAGGAUUGUAAAAUUCUUUCACCGGGGACGAUAAUGACGGUACCCGGAGAAGAAGCCCCGGCUAACUUCGUGCCAGCCGCCGCGGUAA
RNAcentral lists this ribosomal RNA (449 nucleotides) under uncultured bacterium. RNAcentral describes it as "partial 16S ribosomal RNA". It matches the Rfam family "Bacterial small subunit ribosomal RNA", at positions 29 to 523 of the family's 1533-position model. The record is from RNAcentral.